AUUGAACGCUGGCGGCAGGCUUAACACAUGCAAGUCGAGCGGUAGCACAGGGGAGCUUGCUCCCUGGGUGACGAGCGGCGGACGGGUGAGUAAUGUCUGGGAAACUGCCUGAUGGAGGGGGAUAACUACUGGAAACGGUAGCUAAUACCGCAUAACGUCGCAAGACCAAAGAGGGGGACCUUCGGGCCUCUUGCCAUCAGAUGUGCCCAGAUGGGAUUAGCUAGUAGGUGGGGUAAUGGCUCACCUAGGCGACGAUCCCUAGCUGGUCUGAGAGGAUGACCAGCCACACUGGAACUGAGACACGGUCCAGACUCCUACGGGAGGCAGCAGUGGGGAAUAUUGCACAAUGGGCGCAAGCCUGAUGCAGCCAUGCCGCGUGUGUGAAGAAGGCCUUCGGGUUGUAAAGCACUUUCAGUGAGGAGGAAGGUGGUGAACUUAAUACGUUCAUCAAUUGACGUUACUCGCAGAAGAAGCACCGGCUAACUCCGUG
Molecule: ribosomal RNA, 490 nt
Filed under: uncultured bacterium
Lineage: Bacteria
Description: partial 16S ribosomal RNA
Rfam family: Bacterial small subunit ribosomal RNA
Source: RNAcentral